This 497-nucleotide ribosomal RNA is filed under the name uncultured bacterium. Its description in RNAcentral is "partial 16S ribosomal RNA". It matches the Rfam family "Bacterial small subunit ribosomal RNA", at positions 28 to 507 of the family's 1533-position model. The record is from RNAcentral.
GACGAACGCUGGCGGCGUGCCUAAUACAUGCAAGUAGAACGCUGAAGAGAGGAGCUUGCUCUUCUUGGAUGAGUUGCGAACGGGUGAGUAACGCGUAGGUAACCUGCCUUGUAGCGGGGGAUAACUAUUGGAAACGAUAGCUAAUACCGCAUAACAAUGGAUGACCCAUGUCAUUUAUUUGAAAGGGGCAAAUGCUCCACUACAAGAUGGACCUGCGUUGUAUUAGCUAGUAGGUGAGGUAACGGCUCACCUAGGCGACGAUACAUAGCCGACCUGAGAGGGUGAUCGGCCACACUGGGACUGAGACACGGCCCAGACUCCUACGGGAGGCAGCAGUAGGGAAUCUUCGGCAAUGGGGGCAACCCUGACCGAGCAACGCCGCGUGAGUGAAGAAGGUUUUCGGAUCGUAAAGCUCCGUUGUAAGUCAAGAACGAGUGUGAGAGUGGAAAGUUCACACUGUGACGGUAGCUUACCAGAAAGGGACGGCUAACUACGUG